This 715-nucleotide ribosomal RNA is filed under the name uncultured Lachnospiraceae bacterium. RNAcentral describes it as "bacterial SSU rRNA". It matches the Rfam family "Bacterial small subunit ribosomal RNA", at positions 49 to 775 of the family's 1533-position model. The record is from RNAcentral. Lineage: Bacteria; Bacillati; Bacillota; Clostridia; Lachnospirales; Lachnospiraceae.
UAACACAUGCAAGUCGAACGGAGUCAAGAGGAGCUUGCUUUUCUUGACUUAGUGGCGAACGGGUGAGUAACGCGUGAGUAACCUGCCCUGGAGUGGGGGACAACAGUUGGAAACGACUGCUAAUACCGCAUAAGCCCACGGAUCCGCAUGGAUCUGCGGGAAAAGGAUUUAUUCGCUUCAGGAUGGACUCGCGUCCAAUUAGCUAGUUGGUGAGGUAACGGCCCACCAAGGCGACGAUUGGUAGCCGGACUGAGAGGUUGAACGGCCACAUUGGGACUGAGACACGGCCCAGACUCCUACGGGAGGCAGCAGUGGGGGAUAUUGCACAAUGGGGGAAACCCUGAUGCAGCGACGCCGCGUGGAGGAAGAAGGUUUUCGGAUUGUAAACUCCUGUCGUUAGGGACGAUAAUGACGGUACCUAACAAGAAAGCACCGGCUAACUACGUGCCAGCAGCCGCGGUAGAACGUAGGGUGCAAGCGUUGUCCGGAAUUACUGGGUGUAAAGGGAGCGCAGGCGGACCGGCAAGUUGGAAGUGAAAACUAUGGGCUCAACCCAUAAAUUGCUUUCAAAACUGCUGGCCUUGAGUAGUGCAGAGGUAGGUGGAAUUCCCGGUGUAGCGGUGGAAUGCGUAGAUAUCGGGAGGAACACCAGUGGCGAAGGCGACCUACUGGGCACCAACUGACGCUGAGGCUCGAAAGCAUGGGUAGCAAACAG